AGGCAACGUCACUAGGCCGGGGCCAGCUGAAAAACUCGGCUUAUACUCGAGUAUAUAUGGUACUUGUUGAGGAUAUUAAAAAUGAAAAUUGGUUGGAAUGAGUAACAAAGCCACUGUCUGUGAAGAUUAGUUCUGAUACAUGGCACCACCACAGUAAAGCUGGCAGAUUGGCUGAGGAGCAUGCAUGGGGCCUCCUGGCUUUCAACAGAAAAAAGGAUCAUGCAAACUGGAUCAAUAACACAGAAGAUAAAACAUUAAAAUCCUUGAAACAAGCUUUUUUUCAGCCAAAGCACGCAAAUUUUUAUAUUUUACAACUUCUUUUACAACUAAGGCAUAGAGCUACGUGUUUUAUUGCACUCAUGAAGUGUGCUUGGUAGCGAUUUCAAGGCUUUUGAUGCACUGGAAAGGGUAGAGACUCCUCAAAGGGGUGGAGAUUGAG
Hyla sarda is the source of this 439-nucleotide long non-coding RNA. RefSeq lists it as uncharacterized. The transcript is spliced from 3 exons. The record is from RefSeq and is a predicted model, not a curated record. Lineage: Eukaryota; Metazoa; Chordata; Amphibia; Anura; Hylidae.